Molecule: ribosomal RNA, 492 nt
Filed under: uncultured bacterium
Lineage: Bacteria
Description: partial 16S ribosomal RNA
Rfam family: Bacterial small subunit ribosomal RNA
Source: RNAcentral
AGUGAACGCUGGCGGUAGGCCUAACACAUGCAAGUCGAACGGCAGCACAGUAAGAGCUUGCUCUUACGGGUGGCGAGUGGCGGACGAGUGAGGAAUACAUCGGAAUCUACUUUUUCGUGGGGGAUGACGUAGGGAAACUUACGCUAAUACCGCAUACGACCUACGGGUGAAAGCAGGGGAUCUUCGGACCUCGCGCGAUUGAAUGAGCCGAUGUCGGAUUAGCUAGUUGGCGGGGUAAAGGCCCACCAAGGCGACGAUCCGUAGCUGGUCUGAGAGGAUGAUCAGCCACACUGGAACGGAGACACGGUCCAGCCCCCUAGGGGGGGCAGCAGUGGGGAAUUUUGGACAAUGGGCGCAACCCGGCUCCAGCCACACCGGGGGGGUAAAAAAGGCUUUCGGUUUGAAACGCCGUUUUGUGGGAAAAAAAAAGCAGCAGGUUAAUCCCCCGCUGUUCUGGCGGUACCAAAAGAAAAAGCCCCGGCUAACUUCGUG